Molecule: ribosomal RNA, 292 nt
Filed under: Klebsiella pneumoniae
Lineage: Bacteria; Pseudomonadati; Pseudomonadota; Gammaproteobacteria; Enterobacterales; Enterobacteriaceae
Description: partial 23S ribosomal RNA
Rfam family: Bacterial large subunit ribosomal RNA
Source: RNAcentral
GAAUGCUGACAUAAGUAACGAUAAAGCGGGUGAAAAGCCCGCUCGCCGGAAGACCAAGGGUUCCUGUCCAACGUUAAUCGGGGCAGGGUGAGUCGACCCCUAAGGCGAGGCCGAAAGGCGUAGUCGAUGGGAAACAGGUUAAUAUUCCUGUACUUGGUGUUACUGCGAAGGGGGGACGGAGAAGGCUAUGUUAGCCGGGCGACGGUUGUCCCGGUUUAAGCAUGUAGGCUGGUUAUCCAGGCAAAUCCGGAUAAUCAAGGCUGAGGUGUGAUGACGAGGCACUACGGUGCUG